AUUUCUUUGUCGCCGGAUAAAGAAAUUAAUAAGCGUUUAAAUUUCACGCCGCAGGCCUUUGAAAGUGUGAUGUUUAAGCGCUUUAUUUU
Molecule: non-coding RNA, 89 nt
Filed under: unclassified sequences
Source: RNAcentral